RNAcentral lists this ribosomal RNA (463 nucleotides) under uncultured bacterium. Its description in RNAcentral is "bacterial SSU rRNA". It matches the Rfam family "Bacterial small subunit ribosomal RNA", at positions 917 to 1382 of the family's 1533-position model. The record is from RNAcentral.
GAGCCCGCACAAGCAGUGGAGUAUGUGGUUUAAUUCGAUGCAACGCGAAGAACCUUACCAGAACUUGACAUCCCAAGAAGUCCGGUGUAAUGUCGGAUGUGCCCUUCGGGGAGCUUGGAGACAGGUGGUGCAUGGUUGUCGUCAGCUCGUGUCGUGAGAUGUUGGGUUAAGUCCCGCAACGAGCGCAACCCUUACGGUUAGUUGCUACGCAAGAGCACUCUAAUCGGACUGCCGUUGACAAAACGGAGGAAGGUGGGGAUGACGUCAAAUCAUCAUGCCCCUUACGUUCUGGGCUACACACGUACUACAAUGGCGCAAACAAAGGGAAGCGAAACCGCGAGGCGAAGCGAACCCCGUAAAAAGGCGUCUCAGUUCAGAUUGUAGGCUGAAACCCGCCUGCAUGAAGUCGGAAUUGCUAGUAAUCGCGGAUCAGCAUGCCGCGGUGAAUACGUUCCCGGGCUUU